AAACCUGCCGGAUCGUGCCCUUUCAAGAAUUCGUUGUGGAGCGGCCCUUCCGAGAGAAGAAUUUGAGCCCCACGCACCUAUGGGGAGUCGAGAGGAGUAUUGUGGAUUUCAAAGCUUAAGAAAUCAUCUCUCUUCCCCACCGAGGGCAUCACAUUGAAAUUAUAUCCAAGCGUAAAUACGGAAAGAUCCCACGGAUCGGCUAUUGAAUCGGAGAGAAGGUGAAGAACGGUCGUACUCUCGGUUAAGAAGUCAGCUAUCGUUUCUUGAGAACACUUCUGAUGGCUCCGAACUCGAAUGUCAGCCCUCUGUCAACCCCGAGCCCUCUGCCUACCCCGAGCCCUCUGUCUGCCCUGAGCCCUCUGCCUACCCCGAGCCCUCUGCCUACCCCGAGCCCUCUGCCUACAUGGAGGUUCGAAGACCGACGCUUGGAAAUACGCAGCCAUUAUUAUGGGCAAUGCCCGACCGAACGGCAGAAUCAGACCAAUCGGCAGAAAAAUCGGAAAGGCCAGACUUUGCGCGGUCAAAUAGCUCCGGUGGUCGACUUUAUGGACCGGGUGCACAAUGAACUCGUUAGGCAAUUGGGGGAUAAAUACCUCGAUCUUUUGGACGAGUACCGACGAGUCAAUCCUGAAUUGUGCAAUGAAUAGCUCCAAUGAGAAGGAGCGGUAUGAUACCGAAUAUACAAAGAAAUAAACGUAACUU
This is a long non-coding RNA of Galendromus occidentalis (western predatory mite), 702 nucleotides long. RefSeq lists it as uncharacterized. The transcript is spliced from 4 exons. Lineage: Eukaryota; Metazoa; Arthropoda; Arachnida; Mesostigmata; Phytoseiidae. The record is from RefSeq and is a predicted model, not a curated record.